Molecule: ribosomal RNA, 247 nt
Filed under: uncultured bacterium
Lineage: Bacteria
Description: partial 16S ribosomal RNA
Rfam family: Bacterial small subunit ribosomal RNA
Source: RNAcentral
AUACGAAGGGUGCAAGCGUUACUCGGAAUUACUGGGCGUAAAGCGUGCGUAGGUGGUUGUUUAAGUCUGUCGUGAAAGCCCUGGGCUCAACCUGGGAACUGCGAUGGAAACUGGGCGACUAGAGUGUGGUAGAGGGUAGCGGAAUUCCUGGUGUAGCAGUGAAAUGCGUAGAUAUCAGGAGGAACAUCCAUGGCGAAGGCAGCUACCUGGGCCAACACUGACACUGAGGCACGAAAGCGUGGGGAGC